CCAGAGCUAUAGAUACCUGGUCAGUUCAUGGCUGUGUUGGCUUCCCUAUCCCGGAUUCAGGGUAAACGUAAGCCGAUUUUCAGGGGGUUUUAGGGCGGAGCUUGUCAGAAGUUGUGAAGUGGAAGAAUGAAUCAGCGCCAUCUAGUGAUAAGACGUUGAAUACUUUCGGCGGCCAUUUUUGUGUAAUAUGUGAAUACGGCGGCCAAUCGGCCAUCAUCGUGUAUUACGUGAAUGAAGCCUAACCAUAAUUUCUGUAAAAAUGGUUGGCAGGUGUGCUGUUCCUGGUUGUAAAUCAACAUAUUUCAAAGGAAAUAAAAAAGAAAACGAGGGAUUGAAAUUUUGAACGUGUUCCAUCCUUUCAAACGUAGGAUUCUUAACGCUGGAGCAAUGCCCUGGAAACCAACAUUUUCUGUUAAAUGAUACAUCUAGUCAACAACUGCUGAUUACUUCAAAGAGCGAUUCAGUGGUGCUCGACAGCUACCACCAAAGCUGUCCAAUAUCAUUGCAUUAUUUCUUGCCAAAGCUGCAGCCAUCGUUCGAGAUCCUUCUCACCCAAUGUACCGUGCAAUCAAUAACUUUCUACUGGUAAAAUCGGCUAUGGAUGUGACCCAAGUUCCCGAAUUUUUCGUCAUGCUUCAUAACACUGAACAGA
Molecule: long non-coding RNA, 652 nt
Filed under: Daphnia pulicaria
Lineage: Eukaryota; Metazoa; Arthropoda; Branchiopoda; Diplostraca; Daphniidae
Description: uncharacterized LOC124326419, transcript variant X1
Source: RNAcentral